Molecule: non-coding RNA, 143 nt
Organism: Gossypium hirsutum (cotton)
Lineage: Eukaryota; Viridiplantae; Streptophyta; Magnoliopsida; Malvales; Malvaceae
Source: Rfam
UGUUAAAAUUCCAUCCAUUUGUACUGUUAAAAACUGACAUGGCUAACAGAAUAAUCGGACAAUAACAUGUUCGUGUCAUGUGUAGCUCAUGUUGAUGUGCAGGGACAAGUUUUUAACGGGAGGAAUGAAUGAAAUUUUUAAUA